GAAAGGCCAAUCAAACCGGGAGAUAGCUGGUUCUCCCCGAAAUCUAUUUAGGUAGAGCCUCGGACGAAUUCCAUUGGGGGUAGAGCACUGUUAAGGCUAGGGGGUCAUCCCGACUUACCAACCCUUUGCAAACUCCGAAUACCAAUGAGAACUAUCCGGGAGACACACGGCGGGUGCUAACGUCCGUCGUGGAGAGGGAAACAACCCAGACCGCCAGCUAAGGUCCCAAAAUAUUGCUAAGUGGGAAACGAUGUGGGAAGGCAUAGACAGCUAGGAGGUUGGCUUAGAAGCAGCCACCCUUUAAAGAAAGCGUAAUAGCUCACUAGUCGAGUCGGCCUGCGCGGAAGAUGUAACGGGGCUAAGCAAUAUACCGAAGCUGCGGCAGCAUAGUUUACUAUGCUGGGUAGGGGAGCGUUGUGUAAGUGGAUGAAGGUGAGUUGUAAAGCUUGCUGGACAUAUCACAAGUGCGAAUGCUGACAUGAGUAACGAUAAUGGGAGUGAAAAACUCCCACGCCGGAAGACCAAGGUUUCCUGUCCCAUGCUAAUCAGGGCAGGGUAAGUCGGCCCCUAAGGCGAGGCAGAAAUGCGUAGUCGAUGGGAAACGGGUUAAUAUUCCCGUACUUAUAUAAUCAGUGAUGGAGGGACGGAGAAGGCUAGGCAAGCUUGGCGUUGGUUGUCCAAGUGAAAGUGAGUAGGCUGAAGACUUAGGUAAAUCCGGGUUUUCAAGGCCGAGACACGAGACGAGCUCCCAAGGGAGUGAAGUUGUUGAUGCCCUGCUUCCAGGAAAAGCUUCUAAACUUAUGAUUAUAUGAACCGUACCCCAAACCGACACAGGUGGUCAGGUAGAGAAUACUAAGGCGCUUGAGAGAACUCGG
This 875-nucleotide ribosomal RNA is filed under the name Stygamoeba regulata. Its description in RNAcentral is "partial Bacterial large subunit ribosomal RNA". It matches the Rfam family "Bacterial large subunit ribosomal RNA", at positions 823 to 1703 of the family's 2925-position model. The record is from RNAcentral. Lineage: Eukaryota; Discosea; Stygamoebida.